UACGUAGGGGGCAAGCGUUGUCCGGAUUUAUUGGGCGUAAAGAGCGUGUAGGCGGCCAUACAGGUCCGUUGUGAAAACUCGAGGCUUAACCUCGAGACGUCGAUGGAAACCGUAUGGCUAGAGUCCGGAAGAGGAGAGUGGAAUUCCUGGUGUAGCGGUGAAAUGCGCAGAUAUCAGGAGGAACACCGGUGGCGAAGGCGGGUCUCUGGGCCGAUACUGACGCUGAGGAGCGAAAGCGUGGGGAGCGAACAGG
RNAcentral lists this ribosomal RNA (253 nucleotides) under uncultured bacterium. RNAcentral describes it as "partial 16S ribosomal RNA". It matches the Rfam family "Bacterial small subunit ribosomal RNA", at positions 524 to 776 of the family's 1533-position model. The record is from RNAcentral.